RNAcentral lists this long non-coding RNA (409 nucleotides) under Cyanistes caeruleus (blue tit). RNAcentral's name for it is "lncRNA (ENSCCEG00000021560.1)". Lineage: Eukaryota; Metazoa; Chordata; Aves; Passeriformes; Paridae. The record is from RNAcentral.
CACGUUGGGAUCUGCUUGUUCCUGCUGAAAUCGAUGGAAGUUCUCCUUCACAGCUGAUUGCAGUGGGGAAAAAUGGAUCCAGCUUAUGCAGAAUAAUGACAGGAGGGGGAAGGGGGUGUUGGUGAUGACACAAAGAGAGAGAAGAAAUAAAUCUCACUGGGACAGUGUGGACAGGAGCGCCUGUUUGCUCUGGAAAGAACUGGAAGAAGAAGAAAAGGAGUGGAUUGCUGCAGUACAUUAAUUGUACAAGAACUGCAAAAUGGCUGAAACCAGAGGGAUGAUAUUUAUAAAGCUGUCUAGUUUUGAAAAGAUCAAAGGCAUAGGUAGAGAAAUAAUCCAUUGGACGUGUCUAAUUACAAAACGUAUAUUGUAAAAAUAAAAUAAAAAUAGAAUAAAUUUUAAAAAAUCC